UAUUCAUGAGUACAAUAUCUAGCAUAAGAUCUACUUUGUGAAAAUAUAAGUUGGUUUGAAGUUUUUAUUUUUAAGACAAGACUCAAUUCGAAACUUCAGGACCCUCCUGGAAAAUGGGACCUAGGUUAAAAUCCAAAACAAUCAUAAGUAGUAAAUAUAGGACAAAUGUGCGCCAAAAGGAAUAUAAUUUGGCAUCAAAGUGUGCAUAGGAGUUUUCAGAACCCACCAGAAUAAUGGGACGUAACUUUAAGAAUUCCAUUAGAUAAGUAAGUUCUGUUAUAAGAGAUCACUGAAAUCGUCAUUCGUAAGAUAAACUUUAAUUUGGAAUUUCAGGACCCUCCUGGAUAAUGGGAUCUAGCUUACAGAUUAUUAGAAAUGUUGAGUAAAAUGAUCCAAUUAACACUGACAAAUGCGCCCGGUUACCAAACUGGGGAAGAAAUUUUUCUUUUUGUUUUGUCUAUUUUGUUGAAGUCAGGUGCCCAUCUGAAAAACAGGGAAGAACAACAUGGAUGUUAAUGAUUAAAAGCAGUUCAGGAUCAAGUAAUCAGGAGCCCACCUGGAGAACAAGGGAAUACAUUCAAGUUUCAGCAGUCAGGAGCCCACCUUGAGAACAAGAGGAUACAUUCAAGUUUCAGCAGUCAGGAGCCCACCUGGAGAACAAGGGGAUACAUUCAAGUUCAUACAGUCAGGAGCCUGCCUGGAGAGCAAGGGAAUACAUUUCGAGUUUAGUAAUUAGGAGCCCAUCUGGAGAACAAGGGAAUACAUUCGAGUUUCAGCAAACAGGAGCCCACCUGAAGAACAAGGGAAUACAAUUCAAAUUUCAAGUAGUCAGGAGCCCGGCUGGAGAAAGAGGGGAAGAAAAAAUUCAAGUUCGAGUAAUCAGGAGCCAUCCUGUAGAACAAAUGAUAGGCAACAAUGGUCAAAGGAAGACGUUUAAAGGUUCAACAAUGAGGUGCCUGUCUGGAGGAAAGUGAAAGCAUCUCAAGAAUACAAUUCAAGUCAGCAGCAAAGGAACUUCCGUUGGAAGACACAAGUCAAUGAGGCAACAAGAAUCACAAGAUCAAGUUUGAGAAGUAUAGAGUAGAUCUUUGUAAUGCAUAGAUCAUAUUUUAGUCUAGCUUCUUUAUUUUGUCAUGGUGUAAUAAGGAGGUCAGUAAGCAGUAGCAGCAGCAACAACAACAGUAAAAUCACAGCUUCAUGGUAGUUCCAGCUACCGAAACUUCCCGAAUUACAUUGACCUGAUUCCUUUAUAUCUAAGAAUAUGUAGGAAACCUUCCCACAGAGUAUUCAAACGGGCAAAAAUCGCUCGUAUCCGCUCACUGUAUCUUUGCACGAAAACUCUUCGUGUUUCCGGGCAAAGAAGGACAGCUGUGAGCACGUGAUUUUUUCCUCAUAUGAAUUACUCCAAAAGAAUACCCAAAAUUAGGUUUUUUUCUUUAAUUAUGUGUUAUUCUAGGAAUUACUGUGCGAUUUUCCUGAUUGUUUGCAUAUCUUUGUGAGCAUAUUUAAUUUUAUUAAUGCAUUAGAAAAUACAAAAAAUAUAGCAGCUGCACUUAGGAUUUGAUUUUAUAUUUUUUGGUUAAAUUAGUAAAAUGUUGUUUUACAAAAACGAAAAAUUCACAAAAAUAACGUAUUUUUGCAUUUUAUUGUUUAAUGUCAAAAUUUUGCGAUUUUAUUUUAAUUUGGUAUUAAUUAUGUGUGAUAAUUAUUAUUUAGAGAUAAUUAGUAUUUUAAGAUAAUUUGGGGUAUUAUAGCUUAAUUUAGGANNNNNNNNNNNNNNNNNNNNNNNNNACCUAGGUUAAAAUCCAAAACAAUCAUAAGUAGUAAAUAUAGGACAAAUGUGAGCCAAAAGGAAUAUAAUUUGGCAUCAAAGUGCGCAUAGGAGUUUUCAGGACCCACCUGAAUAAUGGGACGUAACUUU
This 1921-nucleotide long non-coding RNA is filed under the name Nicotiana tabacum (common tobacco). Its description in RNAcentral is "long non-coding RNA (NTAB_LNC017935)". The record is from RNAcentral. Lineage: Eukaryota; Viridiplantae; Streptophyta; Magnoliopsida; Solanales; Solanaceae.